UUUUCCUUAGCUUAGUAGAGAGAGUGUCAGUUUGAAGUUCUGGAGGUAUAGAAAUAUAGGAAAAG
Molecule: transfer RNA, 65 nt
Filed under: Schistosoma mansoni
Lineage: Eukaryota; Metazoa; Platyhelminthes; Trematoda; Strigeidida; Schistosomatidae
Description: tRNA-Phe
Source: RNAcentral